UGGAUAGUGAAGAUCUACUGAUGCAUAAUCCAACACUUGAUCCGAUGCCGGCUUCUGCUGAGCGUGUGAUGCACGGACAUAUCUGCAUCUGAAUCCU
This 97-nucleotide small nucleolar RNA is filed under the name Zea mays. RNAcentral describes it as "Zm_14". It matches the Rfam family "Small nucleolar RNA snoR31". The record is from RNAcentral. Lineage: Eukaryota; Viridiplantae; Streptophyta; Magnoliopsida; Poales; Poaceae.